RNAcentral lists this ribosomal RNA (468 nucleotides) under uncultured bacterium. RNAcentral describes it as "partial 16S ribosomal RNA". It matches the Rfam family "Bacterial small subunit ribosomal RNA", at positions 28 to 507 of the family's 1533-position model. The record is from RNAcentral.
GACGAACGCUGGCGGCGUGCUUAACACAUGCAAGUCGAACGGAAAGGCCCUGCUUUUGUGGGGUGCUCGAGUGGCGAACGGGUGAGUAACACGUGAGUAACCUGCCCUUGACUUUGGGAUAACUUCAGGAAACUGGGGCUAAUACCGGAUAGGAGCUCCUGCUGCAUGGUGGGGGUUGGAAAGUUUCGGCGGUUGGGGAUGGACUCGCGGCUUAUCAGCUUGUUGGUGGGGUAGUGGCUUACCAAGGCUUUGACGGGUAGCCGGCCUGAGAGGGUGACCGGCCACAUUGGGACUGAGAGACGGCCCAGACUCCUACGGGAGGCAGCAGUGGGGAAUAUUGCACAAUGGGCGGAAGUCUGAUGCAGCAACGCCGCGUGCGGGAUGACGGACUUCGGGUUGUAAACCGCUUUCGCCUGUGACGAAGCGUGAGUGACGGUAAUGGGUAAAGAAGCACCGGCUAACUACGUG